RNAcentral lists this ribosomal RNA (253 nucleotides) under uncultured bacterium. Its description in RNAcentral is "partial 16S ribosomal RNA". It matches the Rfam family "Bacterial small subunit ribosomal RNA", at positions 524 to 776 of the family's 1533-position model. The record is from RNAcentral.
UACGUAGGGAGCAAGCGUUGUUCGGAUUUACUGGGCGUAAAGGGCGCGUAGGCGGCAAAUUAAGUCAGCUGUGAAAUCUCCGAGCUUAACUCAGAACGGUCAGCUGAUACUGAUCUGCUAGAGUGCGGAAGGGGCAAUCGGAAUUCUUGGUGUAGCGGUGAAAUGCGCAGAUAUCGGGAGGAACACCUAUGGCGAAGGCAGCUCGCUGGGACGUUACUGACGCUGAGACGCGAAAGCGUGGGGAGCAAACAGG